This 253-nucleotide ribosomal RNA is filed under the name uncultured bacterium. RNAcentral's name for it is "partial 16S ribosomal RNA". It matches the Rfam family "Bacterial small subunit ribosomal RNA", at positions 524 to 776 of the family's 1533-position model. The record is from RNAcentral.
UACGAAGGGGGCUAGCGUUGCUCGGAAUCGCUGGGCGUAAAGGGUGCGUAGGCGGGUCUUUAAGUCAGGGGUGAAAUCCUGGAGCUCAACUCCAGAACUGCCUUUGAUACUGAAGAUCUUGAGUCCGGGAGAGGUGAGUGGAACUGCGAGUGUAGAGGUGAAAUUCGUAGAUAUUCGCAAGAACACCAGUGGCGAAGGCGGCUCACUGGCCCGGUACUGACGCUGAGGCACGAAAGCGUGGGGAGCAAACAGG